UGGGGAAUAUUGGACAAUGGGCGCAAGCCUGAUCCAGCCAUGCCGCGUGAGUGAUGAAGGUCUUCGGAUUGUAAAACUCUUUUUGCCGGGGACGAUAAUGACGGUACCCGGAGAAUAAGUCCCGGCUAACUUCGUGCCAGCAGCCGCGGUAAUACGAAGGGGACUAGCGUUGUUCGGAAUCACUGGGCGUAAAGCGCACGUAGGCGGAUUUGUAAGUCAGGGGUGAAAUCCCGGGGCUCAACCUCGGAACUGCCUUUGAUACUGCGGAUCUCGAGUCCGAUAGAGGUGAGUGGAAUUCCUAGUGUAGAGGUGAAAUGCGUAGAUAUCAAGAGGAACACCUGAGGUGAAGACGGGUUGCUGGGCUGACACUGACGCUGAGGCGCGAAAGCCAGGGGAGCAAACGGGAUUAGAUACCCCAGUAGUCCCUGAGCGGGCUGGCAAGGCGCAU
This 448-nucleotide ribosomal RNA is filed under the name uncultured bacterium. RNAcentral describes it as "bacterial SSU rRNA". It matches the Rfam family "Bacterial small subunit ribosomal RNA", at positions 355 to 825 of the family's 1533-position model. The record is from RNAcentral.